RNAcentral lists this ribosomal RNA (495 nucleotides) under uncultured bacterium. Its description in RNAcentral is "partial 16S ribosomal RNA". The record is from RNAcentral.
UUAAACACAUGGCAAAGUUCCGAGCGGGCACUCUUCGGAGUACAACUCAGUGACGUGUGAGUUGGGCGAACCGGCGCCAUGUGAGAGGGAUGGAAGUAACGGUCACCACACCUGAGUUCGGAGGAUAGACCGUUAGAGGAACCGUGGAGAGAAUACAUACACUUAUUCACCGUCGUCAGGCGUGUCUUCGAGGGCCGGCCUUCCGCUCUGUAAUGGAUCAGGCCGCCUCGCGCGCGAGUCGAGCGCGAUGGGUGCAGUAGUGGACCAUUAGUUAGCGGUAGGUGUGAGCGGGUAGCCUAAGCACCGCCCACAGAAUGGCCUUAACGCAGUGGUGGUUGACGAGGCGGCUGAGGACGCUAGCCACCUCGGUCCACCGCGGAACCGCCUGGCAGCAGCACGUGCCUACAGAGGUAUCGUCUCGUGGGUGCGCAGGCAUCGCUACAAGAUUUGUGCGAGCGCGAAGGCGAUGGACAGAGACGCCGAAAGCACAGGGCC